GACGAACGCUGGCGGCGUGCUUAACACAUGCAAGUCGAACGGAAAGGCCCUGCUUUUGUGGGGUGCUCGAGUGGCGAACGGGUGAGUAACACGUGAGUAACCUGCCCUUGACUUUGGGAUAACUUCGGGAAACUGGGGCUAAUACCGGAUAGGAGCUCCUGCUGCAUGGUGGGGGUUGGAAAGUUUCGGCGGUUGGGGAUGGACUCGCGGCUUAUCAGCUUGUUGGUGGGGUAGUGGCUUACCAAGGCUUUGACGGGUAGCCGGCCUGAGAGGGUGACCGGCCACAUUGGGACUGAGAUACGGCCCAGACUCCUACGGGAGGCAGCAGUGGGGAAUAUUGCACAAUGGGCGGAAGCCUGAUGCAGCAACGCCGCGUGCGGGAUGACGGCCUUCGGGUUGUAAACCGCUUUCGCCUGUGACGAAGCGUGAGUGACGGUAAUGGGUAAAGAAGCAUCGGCUAACUACGUG
This 468-nucleotide ribosomal RNA is filed under the name uncultured bacterium. RNAcentral's name for it is "partial 16S ribosomal RNA". It matches the Rfam family "Bacterial small subunit ribosomal RNA", at positions 28 to 507 of the family's 1533-position model. The record is from RNAcentral.